GUGAAUCAUCAAAUCUUUGAACGCAAAUUGCACUCUCCGGUUUUCCGGGAGAGUAUGCCUGUUUGAGGGUCAGCCUAAAAAAAACGGACUUUGUUGCUGUUUUUUGGUGAUUUUCGUCGGAGUUGGGUUAUUUUAAAUCUGGGUUUAAGGGACUUAAAAAUUUUUUUUACGUUUCUAGGGUGGUUUUAAGGUUUUUUUUGGUAGGUUUAAGGUAUC
Molecule: unclassified non-coding RNA, 216 nt
Filed under: Glomeraceae sp.
Lineage: Eukaryota; Fungi; Glomeromycota; Glomeromycetes; Glomerales; Glomeraceae
Description: partial contains 5.8S ribosomal RNA and internal transcribed spacer 2
Rfam family: 5.8S ribosomal RNA (bases 1-72)
Source: RNAcentral